Molecule: ribosomal RNA, 466 nt
Filed under: Vreelandella stevensii
Lineage: Bacteria; Pseudomonadati; Pseudomonadota; Gammaproteobacteria; Oceanospirillales; Halomonadaceae
Description: partial 16S ribosomal RNA
Rfam family: Bacterial small subunit ribosomal RNA
Source: RNAcentral
CCUACGGGCGGCAGCAGUGGGGAAUAUUGGACAAUGGGCGAAAGCCUGAUCCAGCCAUGCCGCGUGUGUGAAGAAGGCCUUCGGGUUGUAAAGCACUUUCAGUGGGGAAGAAAGCCUUGGGGCUAAUACCCUCGAGGAAGGACAUCACCCACAGAAGAAGCACCGGCUAACUCCGUGCCAGCAGCCGCGGUAAUACGGAGGGUGCGAGCGUUAAUCGGAAUUACUGGGCGUAAAGCGCGCGUAGGCGGUCUGAUAAGCCGGUUGUGAAAGCCCCGGGCUCAACCUGGGAACGGCAUCCGGAACUGUCAGGCUAGAGUGCAGGAGAGGAAGGUAGAAUUCCCGGUGUAGCGGUGAAAUGCGUAGAGAUCGGGAGGAAUACCAGUGGCGAAGGCGGCCUUCUGGACUGACACUGACGCUGAGGUGCGAAAGCGUGGGUAGCAAACAGGAUUAGAUAACCCUUGUAGUC